CAGGCCCAUAUCUCGUCCUGGUCAUCAGCUCUCGCCCACCAAUUCCAGCGUGCGUGCAACACAUCUCGACGCCUCACCCAUCCCAGCCGCAUCGCAACCCUAGCCGCCGCCGGAGCAGGCCGCGACGCCGCCCACGGGGAGCAGGACGACACGCCGCGACGCCGCCCACGGACGCCGCCGGAGCCAGCUAGGGCGGACUGCCGGAGCCCUGCGUCAGGGGCUCGGCUGCUCGGGGCGUCCAGAAGGCAGAGGAGGCUGGGAGCGCGCCGGCUCAUCAGGUCCCCAACCCCAACGCAUUUGACUAACGGAGCCCGGAGAAAUGAAAAGGAAGGCUUUGCACAGUUGGUUUGCAAGUAGUUCGAACACCCCCCAUGUUGUUGUUCCUGAACCUGAAGCAACCCAAAUUCCAAACUUGGACCCCCUUAUUCGAACAAAUCUGAGCAAUAAUCCCCCAAUCGAUGAGAAUAAUACACCCCCCCCCCUUCAAACGAGAGCAGCAACCCCCCAAUUGAUGAGAGCAUAAACCAACCACAAACAACAAGGCUUCUUAUCCAAGAAUUUCACCCAAGUCAAAUUUUUGGUGAUCCGGCAGAUCGAAUACCAAUAGAAGAUUAUGCCCCUGAUAUUCAAAGUGAAGUUAGAAGAGCUUAUUUGUUGAAAGGAAGAAACAAAGCUCAAGGGCAUAAUUUUGAAAUCACAUUGGAUGGUACAAUCCGGAGAUCUUUUCAA
Triticum aestivum (bread wheat) is the source of this 729-nucleotide long non-coding RNA. RefSeq lists it as uncharacterized. The transcript has 2 exons. Lineage: Eukaryota; Viridiplantae; Streptophyta; Magnoliopsida; Poales; Poaceae. The record is from RefSeq and is a predicted model, not a curated record.